RNAcentral lists this long non-coding RNA (926 nucleotides) under Papio anubis (olive baboon). RNAcentral describes it as "lncRNA (ENSPANG00000043175.1)". Lineage: Eukaryota; Metazoa; Chordata; Mammalia; Primates; Cercopithecidae. The record is from RNAcentral.
AAUUCGGCAGUUUCAACUUCAAAUGAUGAUGUGAACGGGAUGUCAUUAUCUCCCCAAUGAUAUCUGAUAUCUUUACAAACCUCCCCUGGAUUCAGCUGGACACUAAUUUUGCCCUGACAUGUUCCCCCUCUCUGAUGAACCCCUUCCUCCAGCAAGAUCCAAUAUUAGCACCCCUUCAUAAAUAUACUGCAUGUGAGUCUCCCUCUCAGAAUCUGCUUCUCGGGGAUACUGUGACACAUUGUUGAUCCUUUCUUGGUGGACACAUAUUAAGGUAAAGCCACAACUGACUGUAUAUCAUUCAUUAGAAUAAGAAAGGAAAAGAUAGUCAAUAAUAUGUCUUUUAUUUUUUCCUUUUUAUUGGUUUUCUUCCCUCUUAAACUAGAAGUUUCAAGAAUGUCUAAUCAUUUUUUUCAUUAAAUCAUAUUUACAUAGCUGAAAGUUUUAAAUACAGAAACAUAAGGACGUGUAAAUUUAUUUUAAAAAUAAUAACUUCUAUCCUCAUGAUUCUCACUUUUAUACAUGCACCUUUAUUUAAUAUGUUUCUUUGUUUAAAGUAUCAGAGGCCUAUACAAACAUAGUUUCAAAAAAUCUCCAUGAUUUUUAUGUUACUCUGGAUAAGUCAUAGUUUUUCAUAAAUAACAUUGAAAAAUUUAGAGAUACCUAUUGUGUUAAGAUUUAUUGUUUCUCCCUUUAUGGGUUGUGGUGAAAUAAUAUGCAGGGGACAUAGUCCAAUUAUAGGUAAUAUCAGAGGAAAAUAUACUACUAAAUAUAGUAUAUGGUUUCUGGUUCAAGUCAUUAGCCAGUACUACCAUUUUUUAUUUCCUUCCAAGGUCAUAUUGAAUACUUACAUAAUAUUUCAAGAGAAUAAAAUAAUGAGAUCAUUGGGAAACCACAAAGUUCCAAGGCUGGACUCAAAGGAAGCUUAA